Xyrauchen texanus (razorback sucker) is the source of this 1216-nucleotide long non-coding RNA. RefSeq lists it as uncharacterized. NCBI's taxonomy places the organism in Eukaryota, Metazoa, Chordata, Actinopteri, Cypriniformes, Catostomidae. The record is from RefSeq and is a predicted model, not a curated record. The transcript has 3 exons.
ACAAUAUAAUUAUGAUUAUAUUAUAUUAGAGUCUACUUAAAGCUUUUUAUAUUUGUCUCUCUCUGUCACACACACACACACACACACACACACACACUGUACUACCGCGUUGUUCUGCAUCCAUCUCUUCCAUCUCUUCCCAGCCCUUGACAUUUAGCAGCCCGCCUCCCGAGUCCCAACACACACACACACACACACACACACACGAAAUAGUGAAGCUACCACCAUAAUUCGUUGCCUUAUUUAAAUCAAGACGAGUAAAAAAUUAGUACUCUCAAAUUCCUAAUUCGUUGCCAUGAUAUAUUUAUCUGCAUGCUGUGUGCAUUAAUGUGAGGAAAUGGCUAUGAGAGUAAGGUCAUGCAGGAUGUUUUAAUGUUUUUGAUAUGAUUUGGUAUGUGUGAAAUUAAUAAUGUGAAUGCAAAUUAAUCAACUUUUAAUUUAACAGUAUUUGCUGUUUACUGAUUGUUUGUUUUCUCUUUUCUUAAUUUCAGAAUAUUUCUCAAAUGCAAACUGCAUACUCCUUUGUGGCCUCAUUGCUGUAAACCGGACAAAGAGAGAGACCGAACACACUGAAUUGUUCUCCUUAAGUCCACACAGGGGGUCACACCAUUGAGAAAAGACGAGAUGCCGUGAUCCGCAGUCUCAUUGAAUAUCUUAGUGAGGUGGAGGAGAAUCUUUUCAAAGACGGCAGUGAUGACGAUCAAGAAAACUUCACGGAAGAUGUCCUGAUGAUUCUUGUCCAUGGAAACGGAGACGGAGAGCCAGUGGUGUCCAUUGUGCUUGAAGGAAGCAAGGUCCUAACUAAAUGCGGAAAUACUGCAAAAGCUUGUGCUCUCCUGAUGGGACUGGUAUAUGCCUUAAAUCUUCAGUAUCCCUCCAAGCUGAAGUACACUUUUGAGGUUUUCCAGAAACUGUUUCUGGAUCUUGAUGGUCUGAAGCUCUCUCCUAAAGUACGAUCUUUGAAAAAUAAGCUGCUUGCUUGAAAUAUUUCCAUGGAUGUUCAUAGGCAUUGAUCUGCCUUGUUGACUCUUGCUCCAAAAUGUUCAUUGUGUGCAACCUUUACAUUUAUAUUUUUAUUUGUUGUUAACAUAACAGAUGUGCAUUCAACUGAGUUGAUAAUGGUUGCCUCAUUUGAUAACUGUUUUGUACAAAUGUUUUUAUAUUUACAAUUUGCAGGAUUUGUAUUUCAGAUUUUUUAUUAGCUUAAAAAGGCUUU